This 449-nucleotide ribosomal RNA is filed under the name uncultured bacterium. RNAcentral describes it as "partial 16S ribosomal RNA". It matches the Rfam family "Bacterial small subunit ribosomal RNA", at positions 29 to 523 of the family's 1533-position model. The record is from RNAcentral.
AACGAACGCUGGCGGCAUGCCUAACACAUGCAAGUCGAACGAGAUCUUCGGAUCUAGUGGCGCACGGGUGCGUAACGCGUGGGAAUCUGCCCUUUGGUUCGGAAUAACAGUUGGAAACGACUGCUAAUACCGGAUGAUGACGAAAGUCCAAAGAUUUAUCGCCAGAGGAUGAGCCCGCGUAGGAUUAGCUAGUUGGUGUGGUAAAGGCGCACCAAGGCGACGAUCCUUAGCUGGUCUGAGAGGAUGAUCAGCCACACUGGGACUGAGACACGGCCCAGACUCCUACGGGAGGCGGCAGUGGGGAAUAUUGGACAAUGGGCGAAAGCCUGAUCCAGCAAUGCCGCGUGAGUGAUGAAGGCCUUAGGGUUGUAAAGCUCUUUUACCCGGGAUGAUAAUGACAGGACCGGGAGAAUAAGCUCCGGCUAACUCCGUGCCAGCCGCCGCCGUAA